GAUGAACGCUGGCGGCGUGCCUAAUACAUGCAAGUCGAGCGAACAGACGAGUAGCUUGCUCCUCUGACGUUAGCGGCGGACGGGUGAGUAACACGUGGAUAACCUACCUAUAAGACUGGGAUAACUUCGGGAAACCGGAUCUAAUACCGGAUAAUAUAUUUAACCGCAUGGUUCAAUAGUUAAAGACGGUUUUGCUGUCACUUAUAGCUGGAUCCGCGCAGCAUUAGCUAGUUGGUAAGGUAACGGCUUACCAAGGCAACGAUGCGUAGGCGACCUGGGAGGGUGAUCGGCCACACUGGAAGUGAGACACGGACCAGACUACUACGGGAGGCAGCAGUAGGGACACUUGCGAAAAGGGCGCAAGACUGACGGAGAAACGGCGCGUGAGUGAUGAAGGUCUUCGGAUCGUAAAACUGUGUUAUUAGGGAAGAACAAAUGUGUAAGUCACUAUGCAGGUCUUGACGGUAACUAAUCAGAAAGCCACGGCUAACUCCGUG
RNAcentral lists this ribosomal RNA (497 nucleotides) under uncultured bacterium. RNAcentral's name for it is "partial 16S ribosomal RNA". It matches the Rfam family "Bacterial small subunit ribosomal RNA", at positions 28 to 507 of the family's 1533-position model. The record is from RNAcentral.